CCAGACUCCUACGGGAGGCAGCAGUGGGGAAUAUUGCACAAUGGGGGAAACCCUGAUGCAGCGACGCCGCGUGAGUGAAGAAGUAUCUCGGUACGUAAAGCUCUAUCAGCAGGGAAGAUAAUGACGGUACCUGACCAAGAAGCCCCGGCUAACUACGUGCCAGCAGCCGCGGUAAUACGUAGGGGGCAAGCGUUAUCCGGAUUUACUGGGUGUAAAGGGAGCGUAGACGGCAGCACAAGUCUGGAGUGAAAUCCCGGGGCUUAACCCCGGAACUGCUUUGGAAACUGUGCGGCUGGAGUGCAGGAGGGGUAAGCGGAAUUCCUAGUGUAGCGGUGAAAUGCGUAGAUAUUAGGAGGAACGCCAGUGGCGAAGGCGGCUUGCUGGACGACGACUGACGUUGAGGCUCGAAAGCGUGGGGAGCAAACAGGAUUAGAUACCCUAGUAA
Molecule: ribosomal RNA, 445 nt
Filed under: uncultured bacterium
Lineage: Bacteria
Description: bacterial SSU rRNA
Rfam family: Bacterial small subunit ribosomal RNA
Source: RNAcentral